CACGCCGUAAACGAUGAAUACUAGGUGUAGGGGGUAUCGACUCCCUCUGUGCCGCAGCUAACGCAAUAAGUAUUCCACCUGGGGAGUACGGCCGCAAGGUUGAAACUCAAAGGAAUUGACGGGGGCCCGCACAAGCAGUGGAUUAUGUGGUUUAAUUCGAAGCAACGCGAAGAACCUUACCAGGACUUGACAUCCUUUGACGACUAUAGAGAUAUAGUUUCCCUUCGGGGCAAAGAGACAGGUGG
Molecule: ribosomal RNA, 245 nt
Filed under: uncultured Saccharofermentans sp.
Lineage: Bacteria; Bacillati; Bacillota; Clostridia; Eubacteriales; Oscillospiraceae
Description: partial 16S ribosomal RNA
Rfam family: Bacterial small subunit ribosomal RNA
Source: RNAcentral